RNAcentral lists this ribosomal RNA (533 nucleotides) under Staphylococcus sp. RNAcentral's name for it is "bacterial SSU rRNA". Lineage: Bacteria; Bacillati; Bacillota; Bacilli; Caryophanales; Staphylococcaceae. The record is from RNAcentral.
UUGGAGAGUUGAUCCUGGCUCAGGRUGAACGCUGGCGGCGUGCCUAAUACAUGCAAGUCGAGCGAACAGACGAGGAGCUUGCUCCUCUGAUGUUAGCGGCGGACGGGUGAGUAACACGUGGAUAACCUACCUAUAAGACUGGGAUAACUUCGGGAAACCGGAGCUAAUACCGGAUAACAUGUUAGAACCGCAUGGUUCAACAGUGAAAGACGGUCUUGCUGUCACUUAUAGAUGGAUCCGCGCCGCAUUAGCUAGUUGGUAAGGUAACGGCUUACCAAGGCAACGAUGCGUAGCCGACCUGAGAGGGUGAUCGGCCACACUGGAACUGAGACACGGUCCAGACUCCUACGGGAGGCAGCAGUAGGGAAUCUUCCGCAAUGGGCGAAAGCCUGACGGAGCAACGCCGCGUGAGUGAAGAAGGUCUUCGGAUCGUAAAACUCUGUUAUUAGGGAAGAACAAAUGUGUAAGUAACUAUGCACGUCUUGACGGUACCUAAUCAGAAAGCCACGGCUAACUACGUGCCAGCAGCCGCG